AUACGUUUCAUGAUAAAUCCCACGGAAAACGGCGUUUUGAAACGCUGUUUUGAGGCCUCAGGUAAGGUGGUGAUGGCCACGGAAAAGUGGCGUCGUGCGGAAGGUUUUAGCGCCAAAGGCGGGCCUAUGAGAAGGCCCUUCCCUCGUCCGAAAGGCGUAUACCACCCCGUCGGCAGGGGCCGUCAACCGCCGCAUUUCGCAGGCAGUUCUGCAGCGGUUAGUGGCCAAUUCCGCUGUGCGGUACUUCGCUGCUGUAGCGUUCNNNNNNNNGCCACCUUGAUCAGGAUGGUGAUCAGCGCCACGGCCGUCAGCACCGUCGCGGCGGCGAAGG
RNAcentral lists this unclassified non-coding RNA (331 nucleotides) under Hevea brasiliensis (rubber tree). Lineage: Eukaryota; Viridiplantae; Streptophyta; Magnoliopsida; Malpighiales; Euphorbiaceae. The record is from RNAcentral.